UGCUUGCAGAUCGACCAAAAAGUGGAACGAUCCUAUAUCUCGGAUCAACCAAGAGUUCGGGGAUGCAAACCGGCUCCGCCUGUGACGCCGAUACAGUCAAUGCUGCCGUGUCCGUAUAGGCGCUGAAUCGUUACCACCUCAAACAGUAAUAAAUAUAAUAAAAAUCACCUCAGAUAGUACUGAAACACUACAUUAUCCUGAUUUCUUCAUUUGAUCUUAGCUUUCCGAAUGAUAUUGAACAGCAAAAUAGAAAAAAAACAAAUCAUAAAAUAAUGUUAUUGCAUCGAGAAUAAUAGCUGAUUCGAUGCGGUCAUGUAAACGUUAAACUGGUGCUGUUCUUCUACUUCUUUCCAUGUGUCAAAACGGGCUUUUUACGACACCUCCUCUCAACUCAUUUUGGAGAUAACAGAAAUUGUCUCUCAACAUUACAUGCAUCCAAAAACAAAAGAAGUGCUUGUCUAAAAAGGAUCCCGUAAUGUGUAUGAAAUCGAAAAAGCACCAGCCAAGCAAAACAUUACCGCUAUGAUUUCCUUCAACGCAUGUGGAUUUGUAGUGGAUCCACAUGUCAUAUUUCCGGGACAGCGAUUAAAACGAGACAUUUUACAAGGAUUUCCUUCAACAUGGGGUGUGGGUCAUAGUGAACGUGGACGGAUGGAUUCUAAAAAUUUCCGACUGUGCAUUGAAAAAGUGUUUCAUUCGUGUUUAGUGAAGAAAGGUGAAACUUUUCCUGUUAUUAUAUUUGUAGAUGGCCAUAUAUCUCAUAAGUCAAUAGAAAUUGCCGAUGUUUCCCAAUCACUUGGAAUUAUUUUAAUAACUUUAUAUCCCAACACAACCCACAUUACCCAACCGGCAGACGUUGCAGUUUUCAAACCACUGAAAGAUGCAUGGAGAGGUACAUUAGAGUAAUGGCAUUUUGAAAAUGUAAAUCAAAAUUUCACCUUAAUUUAUUUUGGCGAAAUACUACAAAAAGCAUUACAAUAGGGCGUAAAAACAAAUAGCAUAAAAAGUGGAUUCCGUGCUUGUGGGUUAUAUCCGUUUACCCCAGAAAACGUAGACUAUAACAAAUGCUUAAACAAAUUGCCUUCCCACUCUAGUCAAAACCGUCAUGAACCAUCUGUUCAAAAUGCUUCCCUUAAUGCAGAAGAUAACAAUACCUAUGCGCGAUACCCCAUUACCUGUAGAACGGCAACAAGGUCCUAAAUUAGUUAAAAUAUGUGCAUCAAUUCCGUUGGACAAAUUAUGUCACGCAUUAGACAUGAUUGGGGAAGAAACAUUAAAUAGGAUUACCAUAAAAGACAUAACAAAGCUGUCCCGCCUGGAAAGAUGCAUUAAAUAUUUUUACACGGAGUGCAUCAAGCCAUAUGUAUCAAUAGAGUCCGAAAUCGAAGAUAAUAAUUCAAACAUAUUAAAUCCAGAAAAUGUACCUUAUUUUGAAAUAGAAUCAUCUGAAUCACACAACCAUUCACCAGAUCAUUUCAUUGCCUGUUCAAUCGAAGAAAACUUUCCACGUGAACCAGUAUCCAGCAAUCAAAACUUCCAAUGCUUCGUAAAACAUCAUCAUCGAUCCAAGUGAGCAGUACAAUCAGUUAUUCAUCGAACCAGUCGCAUCAAACCUUUCAAAUGAAGAUUGCAGCAUCGAGCGCCUGGAAGAAGAAUAUGUUGAAGAACCUGAUCUGGAAGAAAAUGACGAUACUACCCAGUUGUGACUGCCAGAGAACGAUUGCAAGAAAUGAAUCUCAAAGAGGAGGAAAAACUUCGGCAGCAGGAAGAACGGAAACGCAAGGCUGUCGAACGUCAAGAAGCCAAAGAACUUCGUGAAACGGAGCAAAAAGCUAAAAAAGAGGCCCGAUUGAAGAAAGUGAUAAUAAAAAACUGUGCAAUAAGAGUAUAAAAUAACUAUAGUUAAGUGCAAUAAAUGUUAUUAGAUUCCUUAUAAAA
Long non-coding RNA from Anopheles stephensi (Asian malaria mosquito), 1938 nucleotides. RefSeq lists it as uncharacterized. The transcript has 2 exons. The record is from RefSeq and is a predicted model, not a curated record. NCBI's taxonomy places the organism in Eukaryota, Metazoa, Arthropoda, Insecta, Diptera, Culicidae.